Molecule: ribosomal RNA, 253 nt
Filed under: uncultured bacterium
Lineage: Bacteria
Description: partial 16S ribosomal RNA
Rfam family: Bacterial small subunit ribosomal RNA
Source: RNAcentral
UACGUAGGGCGCAAGCGUUGUCCGGAAUUAUUGGGCGUAAAGAGCUCGUAGGCGGUCUGUCGCGUCGGUUGUGAAAACACAAGGCUCAACCUUGUGCCUGCAAUCGAUACGGGCAGACUAGAGUACUGCAGGGGAGACUGGAUUUCCUGGUGUAGCGGUGAAAUGCGCAGAUAUCAGGAGGAACACCGGUGGCGAAGGCGGGUCUCUGGGCCACUACUGACGCUGAGAAGCGAAAGCAUGGGGAGCGAACAGG